Molecule: ribosomal RNA, 504 nt
Filed under: uncultured bacterium
Lineage: Bacteria
Description: partial 16S ribosomal RNA
Rfam family: Bacterial small subunit ribosomal RNA
Source: RNAcentral
AUUGAACGCUGGCGGCAGGCCUAACACAUGCAAGUCGAACGGUAGCACAGAGAGCUUGCUCUCGGGUGACGAGUGGCGGACGGGUGAGUAACGUCUGGGAAACUGCCCGAUGGAGGGGGAUAACUACUGGAAACGGUAGCUAAUACCGCAUAACGUCGCAAGACCAAAGUGGGGGACCUUCGGGCCUCACACCAUCGGAUGUGCCCAGAUGGGAUUAGCUAGUAGGUGGGGUAAUGGGUCACCUAGGCGACGAUCCCUAGCUGGUCUGAGGGGAUGCCCAGCCACAGUGGAACUGAGACACGGUCCAGACUCCUACGGGAGGCAGCAGUGGGGAAUAUUGCACAAUGGGCGCAAGCCUGAUGCAGCCAUGCCGCGUGUAUGAAGAAGGCCUUCGGGUUGUAAAGUACUUUCAGCGGGGAGGAAGGCGGUGAAGUUAAUAACUUCACCGAUUGACGUUACCCGCAGAAGAAGCACCGGCUAACACCGUGCCAGCAGCCGCCGUAA